RNAcentral lists this ribosomal RNA (440 nucleotides) under uncultured bacterium. RNAcentral describes it as "partial 16S ribosomal RNA". It matches the Rfam family "Bacterial small subunit ribosomal RNA", at positions 338 to 795 of the family's 1533-position model. The record is from RNAcentral.
CCUACGGGAGGCAGCAGUGGGGAAUAUUGCACAAUGGGGGAAACCCUGAUGCAGCGACGCCGCGUGAGUGAAGAAGUAUCUCGGUACGUAAAGCUCUCUCAGCAGGGGAGAAAAUGACGGUACCUGACUAAGAAGCCCCGGAUAACUACGUGCCAGCAGCCGCGGUAAUACGUAGGGGGCAAGCGUUAUCGGGAUUUACUGGGUGUAAAGGGAGCGUAGACGGCAGCACAAGUCUGGAGUGAAAUCCCGGGGAUUAACCCCGGAACUGCUUUGGAAACUGUGCGGCUGGAGUGCAGGAGGGGUAAGCGGAAGUUCUGGUGUAGCGGUGAAAUGCGUAGAUAUUAGGCGGAACACCGGUGGCGAAGGCGGCUUACUAGACUGUAUCUGACGUUGAGGCUCGAAAGCGUGGGGAGCAAACAGGAUUAGAUACCCCGGUAGUC